Molecule: ribosomal RNA, 118 nt
Organism: Otolemur garnettii (small-eared galago)
Lineage: Eukaryota; Metazoa; Chordata; Mammalia; Primates; Galagidae
Source: Ensembl
GUCUGCGGCCAUACCACCCUGAACGCAACUGUCUUGUCUGAUCUCAGAAGCUAAGCAGGGUCAGGCCUGGUUAGUACUUGAAUGGGAGACCACCUGGGAAUACCAGGUACUGUAGGCU